AGUGAACGCUGGCGGUAGGCCUAACACAUGCAAGUCGAACGGCAGCACAGUAAGAGCUUGCUCUUACGGGUGGCGAGUGGCGGACGGGUGAGGAAUACAUCGGAAUCUAUUUUUUCGUGGGGGAUAACGUAGGGAAACUUACGCUAAUACCGCAUACGACCUACGGGUGAAAGCAGGGGAUCUUCGGACCUUGCGCGAUUGAAUGAGCCGAUGUCGGAUUAGCUAGUUGGCGGGGUAAAGGCCCACCAAGGCAACGAUCCGUAGCUGGUCUGAGAGGAUGAUCAGCCACACUGGAACUGAGACACGGUCCAGACUCCUACGGGAGGCAGCAGUGGGGAAUAUUGGACAAUGGGCGCAAGCCUGAUCCAGCCAUACCGCGUGGGUGAAGAAGGCCUUCGGGUUGUAAAGCCCUUUUGUUGGGAAAGAAAAGCAGCAGGUUAAUACCCCGCUGUUCUGACGGUACCCAAAGAAUAAGCACCGGCUAACUUCGUG
This 492-nucleotide ribosomal RNA is filed under the name uncultured bacterium. RNAcentral describes it as "partial 16S ribosomal RNA". It matches the Rfam family "Bacterial small subunit ribosomal RNA", at positions 29 to 507 of the family's 1533-position model. The record is from RNAcentral.